AAGCUAUGAUUUCGAGACUUCUGCAAGUAAUCCUUGAAUCUCUCCCAAGCUUCAUAUAGUUUCUCCCCCGAAAGCUGCUUGAAAUCAUAGAUUUAUCACUAAUUUC
Molecule: small nucleolar RNA, 106 nt
Organism: Lycium barbarum (goji berry)
Lineage: Eukaryota; Viridiplantae; Streptophyta; Magnoliopsida; Solanales; Solanaceae
Source: RefSeq, a predicted model, not a curated record